Molecule: transfer RNA, 73 nt
Rfam family: tRNA
About the family: Transfer RNA (tRNA) molecules are approximately 80 nucleotides in length. Their secondary structure includes four short double-helical elements and three loops (D, anti-codon, and T loops). Further hydrogen bonds mediate the characteristic L-shaped molecular structure. tRNAs have two regions of fundamental functional importance: the anti-codon, which is responsible for specific mRNA codon recognition, and the 3' end, to which the tRNAs corresponding amino acid is attached (by aminoacyl-tRNA synthetases). tRNAs cope with the degeneracy of the genetic code in two manners: having more than one tRNA (with a specific anti-codon) for a particular amino acid; and 'wobble' base-pairing, i.e. permitting non-standard base-pairing at the 3rd anti-codon position.
Source: Rfam
GGUCUCGUGGUGUAGUGGUUAUCAUACCUGUCUUACACACAGGCGGUCGCUGGUUCGAUCCCGGCCGGGACCA